GUUUAUCUUAUAUUUUAUCUACCCCAGAACUCAUCUCCAAAAAAUGGGGAAAGAGAGAUGAAGGGGAUGAUAGAAAAACAAGGUAGCUGAACUUGUACUUUAAUUGAAAAAAAAAACAUAAUUACUCUAAGCAAAAAAUAGUUGUAGACGAAAGCACAUGUUCAAAGAAACAAAGUGAUCAAAACCAUAUUAACUUUAUGUUUUUUCUCUUCCCACCUAACCUCCAGAUUCCUAACUUGUUUCAUCCUACUGGUUCUUUUCAAAUUAUACCUGUGAUAAUUCAGCUGUUAAAAGAGGAGUUUUGAAGUCCUGUUAAUACGUGACUCGAGGAAAAUCCAAGCAUCCACACCCCUCACUGAGAGUCCAGCCAUCACCCUGCUGCCAAUCUCAACCUUCUGAAACCCACAUUGGAUCUGUCACUCUUCUGCUUCUUCCCAUUGCCUCCAGGUAUUUUGGAAGAUCCCUGUUCUGUAACUCUACAUUCUUAUCUGCAAGGUAUCACUUAUUUCAGCCAGUUAAUAACCACCUCUCCUUGUCAAGAUGUUAUAUCUGAGACACUCCCAAAAGUUUCUGCUGGU
RNAcentral lists this long non-coding RNA (578 nucleotides) under Pan paniscus (pygmy chimpanzee). Its description in RNAcentral is "lncRNA (ENSPPAG00000045278.1)". The record is from RNAcentral. Lineage: Eukaryota; Metazoa; Chordata; Mammalia; Primates; Hominidae.